Molecule: ribosomal RNA, 492 nt
Filed under: uncultured bacterium
Lineage: Bacteria
Description: partial 16S ribosomal RNA
Rfam family: Bacterial small subunit ribosomal RNA
Source: RNAcentral
AGUGAACGCUGGCGGUAGGCCUAACACAUGCAAGUCGAACGGCAGCACAGUAAGAGCUUGCUCUUACGGGUGGCGAGUGGCGGACGGGUGAGGAAUACAUCGGAAUCUACUUUUUCGUGGGGGAUAACGUAGGGAAACUUACGCUAAUACCGCAUACGACCUACGGGUUAAAUCAGUGGAUCUUCGGACCUUUCGCGAUUGAAUGAGCCGAUGUCGGAUUAGCUAGUUGGCGGGGUAAAGGCCCACCAAGGCGACGAUCCGUAGCUGGUCUGAGAGGAUGAUCAGCCACACUGGAACUGAGACACGGUCCAGACUCCUACGGGAGGCAGCAGUGGGGAAUAUUGGACAAUGGGCGCAAGCCUGAUCCAGCCAUACCGCGUGGGUGAAGAAGGCCUUCGGGUUGUAAAGCCCUUUUGUUGGGAAAGAAAAGCAGCAGGUUAAUACCCCGCUGUUCUGACGGUACCCAAAGAAUAAGCACCGGCUAACUUCGUG